This 613-nucleotide ribosomal RNA is filed under the name uncultured bacterium. Its description in RNAcentral is "bacterial SSU rRNA". It matches the Rfam family "Bacterial small subunit ribosomal RNA", at positions 28 to 638 of the family's 1533-position model. The record is from RNAcentral.
GAUGAACGCUAGCGGCAGGCUUAACACAUGCAAGUCGAGGGGCAGCACGGUAGCAAUACUGGUGGCGACCGGCAAACGGGUGCGGAACACGUACAGAAUCUACCUUUAUCUGGGGCAUAGCCCGGAGAAAUCCGGAUUAACUCCCCAUAAUAUACAUGAGUGGCAUCACUUGAGUAUUAAAAAUUCAUUGGAUAGAGAUGACUGUGCGUCCCAUUAGCUAGUUGGUAGGGUAACGGCCUACCAAGGCGACGAUGGGUAGCUGGUGUGAGAGCACGACCAGCCACACGGGCACUGAGACACGGGCCCGACUCCUACGGGAGGCAGCAGUGAGGAAUAUUGGUCAAUGGACGCAAGUCUGAACCAGCCAUGCCGCGUGAAGGAUGAAGGCCUUCUGGGUUGUAAACUUCUUUUAUGGGGGAAGAAAACUACGGUUUCUACUGUAGCCGACGGUACCCUAGGAAUAAGCACCGGCUAACUCCGUGCCAGCAGCCGCGGUAAUACGGAGGGUGCAAGCGUUAUCCGGAUUUACUGGGUUUAAAGGGUGUGUAGGCGGGCUUUUAAGUCAGUGGUGAAAUCUCCGGGCUCAACCCGGAAACUGCCAUUGAUACUAUUA